GGAGGAGGAAGGGGCCCGGUGGCCCCACCGGUCUUCAAAACCGGCUUGGCGGCUAAUACUGUCGCCGGAGGGUUCGACUCCCUCCCCCCUCCGCCA
Molecule: transfer RNA, 96 nt
Filed under: bacterium
Lineage: Bacteria
Also listed under: 3 other names
Description: tRNA-Sec
Rfam family: Selenocysteine transfer RNA
Source: RNAcentral